CUCAUUAUUUCUCCUAGGUAUAUGGUAUUCAUGAUUUUUGGAGAAAUUCAAUAAUAGCAUACUUUGGAAAGUUGGAGAGAAUAUAAUAAAUAAAACACAGACCUUCUUAUUGCAUGACCAAGCUGCCAAAAAAGAAAAUCAGACAAUUCUUCCAAGACUGGAAACAAAAGAAAAUUGGGAAUACACAAGAUGGCUGGAUUGGAGUAAAGCAGCGCAGGAAACUGAUGUGAGCCCAGAACAGAACUGGGAGAGGGAGAGAGAAACAGAUGCAGAGAGAAAGAGAAGAAUGAGGCAAAUGAAAGGAAGGCCCAGAGGGACUGCACUUCAAAGAGCACCUCUAGGAUAGCGUUCAUGCACAUAUCUCUUGCCUCUGGAUAAAACGAAGUAGAGAAAGGAAACCUUCAGCCAAAGACCCCAUAGACAAAUAACUGUUAUCAAACUGGGAGAAAAUUAGCACAUAUCACAUAAAAGGUUGAAUAUAUGAGAAUUGUCUAUAAUUUUAUAAAAUAACCUAUUGGAAAAAAUAGCAAGGAUGUGGAUAUGUAAUUUAUAGGAGAUAAAAUGGAAAUGACCAAUAAGUAUAUUGUUAAAUGUACAGCUCCACUAACAAUCAAGAAAGUACAAAUUAAAUAAAGCUUUUAUUUUUCAACUCUUAGACUAGGAAAUAUUUCAAAACUAAGUAACUUUAUACACUGAUUAGGUCAUAGGGAAAAGGUAACUCUCCGCUCUAAAACAAUGCUUAAGACUUAACUUUGAAUUGCUUUAUUUGUAGGGCACCUUGAUGAACAUUUUAGAGUUACAUGUAUCUUUUAAGCCAAUAAUCCCACUUGUUGGUAUCUACCCAAGAGAAACACAGCUGCCUAUGUGAGUGGCAUGUAUGAAACUGUUCCCUGGGGUGCUUUAUGAAAUAGAAAAACGUCCUGAAUUUCCACUAAUAAGGUAAUAAAUGGAAUCUUCAUAAUCUAUGUUAUGGAAUAUUAUGCAACAAGUUUUAAAGAUAAUAAAUCCAUCUUUAUAUUGGUGAAAAAUACCUGAAAGCUUCUCGCUAAUAAAAGCCACUCACAAAAGCUGAAAAUAUGAACUGCAAGAAACUAUAGUCAUUCCCUUUACAAAAAAAGAUACUGAGGACCAGAGGGAUUAGGGAUUUUUCCCAGGGUCACUCAGUUGGUAGUGACUUUUACAUUCUUAGGUGCACAGAGGCUCCAAGAAAACUAUAAAUGUCCACAGUAGCCUCUGGGAGACUGGGAGCAACUCAGAUGCUCCUUGUUGGAGGAAGUGAUUCAAGGCUCCUACCUAUCUUGUACUAAUUGAACGAACUAGACGAGUGAUUUCUGAACAGAGAUGUUUCAGUUCAGAGACUUCCACAUAGAAUUUAUCAUUUUUCUUGUAUCUUUAUGACCUCUAGCUGUUUAAGUUCUACUUUCAAUUGGGGUUGUAAAAGUAGUAUCCUUAUGAACAAAGAAGAACUUAACUCUUAAAGUGUAGAGAUUUUUAAGGUUAAAAAGCCAUAAAAUGUGGACAUUUAGAACUCACACUAUUCUAGUCAAAUAUUUAAUAAAAAUCUGUAACAAUCAUGAGUGAGGUGUCCUAUUUCCAAGAAGUACCUACUUGUAGGAAAGAUGAAGGAAGUAUAAGACACUGAUCUUUCUAAGAUAUUUACUGAAUUUUCUGGGUUGUCCUGGGAUUUCAUUAUUAUUGUAUUUGUCCAAAAU
Chinchilla lanigera (long-tailed chinchilla) is the source of this 1712-nucleotide long non-coding RNA. Lineage: Eukaryota; Metazoa; Chordata; Mammalia; Rodentia; Chinchillidae. The record is from Ensembl.